RNAcentral lists this ribosomal RNA (601 nucleotides) under Gonionemus agilis. RNAcentral's name for it is "partial 16S ribosomal RNA". It matches the Rfam family "Bacterial large subunit ribosomal RNA", at positions 1820 to 2594 of the family's 2925-position model. Lineage: Eukaryota; Metazoa; Cnidaria; Hydrozoa; Limnomedusae; Olindiidae. The record is from RNAcentral.
CCCCGGAUUAAAUCGGGGGUGACUCCUGCCCUAUGGUAUAUUAAUUAUUUUUGAAAGAAAAUUAAAACCUGUACUAAAUGGCCGCGGUAACUCUGACCGUGAUAAUGUAGCGAAAUCAAUCGUCAUUUAAUUGAUGACCAGUAUGAAUGGAUAAACGAAUUUUCCACUGUCUCGAGUAUAAAACUGAUGAAAUUGUAAUUAUAGUGAAGAUACUAUGAAAUAAUUGCUAGACGAAAAGACCCUAUAGAGCUUAACUAGAGUCAUAUUAAAUUUAUUUUUGACUCAAAAUUUUAAUUAGUAUGAAAGCUAGUUUGGUUGGGGCGACCAUCUUUUAAAAAGAACGAAGACAAACAAAGAUUUUUUAUCAUAAUUAAUUUAAUUGUUUAAUCCAUAAAUUUAACAAAUACUAAAGUAGGUGAAAAUGACCCGCUGACUUUAUCAAAUAAAUUCAACGAUCAAUAAAUAAAAGCUACCUUAGGGAUAACAGCGUUAUCUUGUUUAAGAGUUCUUAUCGACAACAAGGUUUGCGACCUCGAUGUUGAAUUGUGAUAACCUGGGGGUGUAGCAGCUCCCAAAGGUUGGUCUGUUCGACCAUUAAAAU